This 6538-nucleotide long non-coding RNA is filed under the name Olea europaea (common olive). RNAcentral describes it as "long non-coding RNA (OEUR_LNC014866)". The record is from RNAcentral. Lineage: Eukaryota; Viridiplantae; Streptophyta; Magnoliopsida; Lamiales; Oleaceae.
AUUAAUGAUAGAAUAAAUCUUUCGUUGUAUAUUUGAUUUGAUAUAUAAGAGCCCCAAGAUCUAUAAAUAAAAUCAUAAGAACAUUCAGGGAAAGUAAUAAUUUAUGUAGUUGUUCAUUAGAAGAGACUUAACUAAAAGACCUGUUUAGGGUACAUUUGCUACCUUGAACCAGUGCUAUGGCGUAGUCAAUUUUUGCUGUAGUCUCUUAUGUGUUUGGAAAACAUGGAUUGGCAAGAGUAGAAAGAGAACAAUAUAAUGUACAUGUAAGUUUAUUGAAAACGUAAUUUAAACAUACAAAGGAGGAAAUCUAAAAUAUUUAUAAUAGCAAGCAUAUUACUCACAUAGAUUAAUAUAUGAAUGGAAAGAAAUUAUUCAUUGAAAAAUAGACACUGAGUAAUAAGUUUGUUGUCAAACCCGUUGAAGGAAGGGCAGUGCCUGCAGCUGUUCAAAUUGUAUGCUUGUUUCUUCUUCAAAAGGCAGCUUUUAAGGCAGCGAACUGCUGCCUUUUAAGCCUUCAAUUUAAUUUUCUUUUUUUUCUUUUUUUUUUUUUAUUAAAAAGCUCGCGAGCUCACGGGCAGUCUCAGGCAAAGCCCGUGUCCCCAAAAUGGGGUUCGGCCCGAACCUAGGCUCGAGUCUACCGAGCCCCGAGCCGGCGAGCCCGAUUGCCAUCCCUAGGGCAGGUUAUGUUACAUAAGAGUUGUCAACAAAUUUUAAUAUUUAAUAUUUGCCUUAGUAUUAUAAAUCUUGUCUACCGUACUUUAUCAUAGUAACAUUGAAUAGCAUAUAGAUAUUUUAGUAGGACUAAUUUAAGGAUUUAAAUAAUUUAACGGUAUAUAAAAUAACGAUUAUUAUUAAUUAGCUUAAAUUAUAAUAAUUAGACGUCAUUAGCUUAGAAUAAAGAUUUCCCAUGUAUGCAAUUUUGCAAAUUGUGAUUAUUUAAAUUGUUUGUUUGCAUGAUUAUCUUAAAUUUGAAAAAUGUUUAAUCACAUUUAAAUAAUUAGAUUUUUAUAAAACAAGAUUUAAUAUAUCAAUGUUGGGCUUGCUGGAUAAAUUACAUUAAAUCAUGUAUUUGAGGCUCGAAAAAAUUUUAAUUCGGAUAAGUUAAAUCUAAGAUAUUAAUGUUUAAAGAAAUUGCUAUUUAAUAGUAUUUUAUUGGAGUUUAGCAAUUGAGCCGUCCAUGGUCGACUGUCCACGGGUCAUGGUGGAUAACUAUUAUUUUAUUUUAAAGGCAUAUCCUAAUAUUGAAUCCUAGUAUUUAUACAUGAAAUGAUUGGUUGGUUGAUUUAAAACCUGUCCUAGUCAAGGUCUAUUUUGAAAUCAAUUUUAAACCAAUUGGUAGAUUGUCCACGUGAUAGCCUUUAACCCAAAUUGAUAAGUUUUGAUCUGAUAGUGUACUUUAUCUACGAAUUAACCUAUCAUGAAAUUUGUAGGAUAAAACGUGUAGCAGAUGUGGUGUUUUAUCUGAGAUUUGUAAGGUGGCUACACGUACUACACUAUUGGAUGGAGAUAUUAGUUUUUCCUUUUAUUUAAAAAGGAUAAUUUUAUAGUACAAUCAGCAUUUCACAAGAUUUUGACUUAUAAUAUAUUCUAGGGAAACUCAACCAACAUGCACGUGUCCCACUUUUCCAUAAAAAGCCUGCAUUAUAAAUACCAAACAAUGGACCACAUUAUUCACCACACAAAUUUCAUAUACAUGUACGUAUGGCAGAGAGAGAGAGAGAGAGAGAGAGAGAGAGAGAAUAGUUUAUGAAAUCGGAAAUUUUGCAUACAUCAAAUACCAUAUUUUCCAAAGCAGAGAAAAUGAUUUUAAACAUGCAUUCAGAUUUUUAAAAACGAGGUAAGAUACAUAUGUGCAAGUUAUUUUCGUUUCUAUAUGCUUUUGUAUACAAUUAAAUAUGCGUAGAUUGCUAGUAGACCUUCGGAUUCUAGAGAAAGAAAUGAAAUUCCUUCAAGAAUUUAAGACCUAAGAUGAGUGUGUUGCUUGGUCAUUGAUAUACUCCAUCAGAGCAGAGUGGUAUGAAAUGUAGAUUUUAUUGUUAUAUAUCUGUAUAUGAAAACUGCACGUAUCUUACUGUGUAUUUUUAAAUACUCACUCUUACAUUAAUUUUACAGGUUAGUUCGGAUCGACUGGAACAGUGACGAAUUGGUGAUGCAGGCUGUCAAAUGAAUCAAAGGAAAAGAAAAAGAAAUAAGUUUGCCCUAUUUAAAUUUACCAAUUAAUUUAAUUUUGUUCAAAGCGUAUUAUUUGAAUUAGUUAGGAGUUUAUGUUAUGUUCAGAUACGAUUUUCAUGAUUUAAAUUUAGAUUUAUAAAUGUUACAAUUAUUUGUUUAUUAAAGAAUUUUAUUUUUAUAGUUCCACACUUAAAAUAAAGAAAAUGAGUUAUUCGUAACGUUCGGGUAUUUAUGAAAAUUUUGGGCAUUACAGUUGCAGCACAUACGACCUUAGCACGACUUUCACAAGAUAAUCAAAGUAUCAAGCCCCUCUUAUUGAUACAGUCAAUAUUAAGGAGGGUUUACAUGUUACAAAAGAUCUUCUCCGCUCACUGAUAGUACUAUCUAAGAUGCUCAGCAUUCUAGGGUUCGGGUAGAGGACUUUCGCCCAGAUCUUCUAGUUUAUAUGCUCUUUUUAGUAGAACUCUUUUUACUACAUAGGGCCCUUCCUAGUUGGGACCCAAGGACCUAGAUCCGAUUUCCCUAGUGGUGAGGAAAACCUUUCAUAAGACUAAUGAUCCUAUUUCAAACUCCCAUUUCCACAACCUUUAAUUAUAGUACCUAGCAUUGCGGUGCGUUCCCGAGUUCGGCAUCAUUUCUCUUUUCCUCCACUAGGUCUAGUUUUCUUUGAAGAGCCAUUUGAUUACCUUUUUCGCUAUAGGCAGCCGUGUGGAAUGAUGAAAUCUCGAUUCCUAGUGGAAUUACAGUCUUUACGUUGAAAGCUAAGGAGAACGGGGUUUCACCCAUGCUGAUUCUUGUAGUGGUGGGAUAUGACCAUAGCAUACUGGGGAGUUCUCCAGCCCAUUCCCUUUGUGCGCAUCAAGCUUCACUUUUAAUGUGUACUUGAUAAUCUUGUUGAUGUCCUCGACUUGGCCAUUGGCUUGUGGGUGAUUCGAUGUAUAGAAGUGUUUCUUGAUACUGUACUCUUCACAAAAAUUUGCAAAAUGAGUGGAUGGUGAUGAAAACCUAGGAUCAGAUUCUGUCCAUUUAGAAGUUUAAGGUAGUUUUAACCUUUUCAUAUCCAUUAAUGAUCUCUUGGGCCUAGAAAGUAUAUCUUAAGGAGUACAAGGUUGUUGACAACAAUUGGAUGACAUUGACGUUCAUAAUUGGACUCGAGAAAUAGCGAGACUUAUUUGAUUAGUUUGUAAUGUCAUCAGUAAUUUGAAAUAAUGAUUUCGUCUAAUUUUUAUUUUAUUUUUUUGCGUGAAUGGACGUAUUUUGAGAUUGUGUGUGUUAAGAUUAUUAAAUGGAGAAUUCUCUUUAAUAUUAGAUGGUAAUACAAGUGAUUUUUCGACGUUGAACAAAAAAGGAAAUUGACAUACACUCCGUAGGAGCUUGCAUACACACGAUGGCGAAAGAUAAGUAAAAAUUCAUUUGCAACCACUAUGCAAGAAUCUAGUAUAUGUGAUAUAGUAAUGUUGAAAUAUUUAUAUAACUUUGAUAAGAGGCUUAUAGCACCUCAUAUGAUGAUUACGAUCAUUAAGUAUGAAUUUGCGGAACCUAUUGACAUCAAUUUUCAUUAAGCAUGUCAUUCAUGAGCCAUUUUCAUCAGCAUGCACAACAUGUGAUCAUGGUUGAAAAUCCUACAUGCGAAAUAUGAUUUCAAAUUGAGUUUUCUUUAUAAAUAUUUUAUUGACCACCACUAAGGUACCGAGGCAUGCUUAUGUGAUAUGUUUGGCAUCGCGGAUGAUUGCAAAGAUAGACAUGGGAUGAGCCUUUGGUGAUCACGAGAGGGUGACCACUCGACUGUGCCCUUGUGAUAUUAUGAUUAUAGGCGCUGUCGGUUGUGAGACUUCUUGGGUGAUCAUAGGGGUAUUUAGGGGAUGGGCCUGUAGUGAUCACGAGAUAAUGGUCCACUCGCCAGUGUCGAUUUCAUAUUGGUCAUUUGAUUAUUGAUAUUGAUAUUAUGCAGAGCUCUAUCCAGUUCAUAGUAGGUGGGUCAAGGGCCCAAUGAUUUGAAAGAUUUCAAAUGAAAUGGUUUCGAGUGGACUUUGAUAAAUAUUGUAAUAUGAUGCAUCUUUAUCGGGAUGUUAAAGUGAAUAGCAUAGUGACAUAUAUCGUUAUUGUUCAUAUUCAUGACAUGCAUGAUUUUUGUUUAAUAAGUAUUGGCUUAUGUAGUUCUUGCAUUGUAGGUGAGCCUGAAACUACAUAAAGAGCACGGCUAGCUGUGGAACUCUUACAGGAUUCCAGAGUUCGAUGUACAUGGAUGACGACUUGUAAGGUUAUUUUGUGGGCUGCUAUUUUGAGCUUUGGCCUAUUGUAUUGUAUGUUGGGGAUCCUGUGUUGUAUAUCUCUUGACAUGGCAUGUAGACAUGUUUAUAAUCUCAGAAUAUAUAUGUUUUACGGCGAUAUGAUUUUGAUUUAGAGACAUAGCUUAUGUCGUCUUAUCAGGUGAAAAAAUGUGUGAAAUUCUAUAUCUAGGUUGAAUCAUCAACUUUAUUUCCACACAGGUUAAUGGAUAGUUAUCUAUUUGAAUAGGGGCGUUACAAUCCUUCAUUAGAUUUGUCAAUUGCUUAUUUUCAACAUCUUAAAUAAUGUUCAAAUUGCAGAAGCCUGAACAUAAAGGGAUCAAAGUGUGUGUGUGUGUCUAUAUAUAUGAUGCCAGAUACAAGAGGAGAAUUAUAAGAGAAGGGGGGAGAAGAAGAGGAAGGAGGGAGAAAAGAGACAAGAGGAAGAGAAAAUUUUCAAUUUAUUUCAUAAUCAAAGGUGGUUAUACUACAACGCAAAAAAUCCAUUUAUAGAGUGCAUAAACUAGUCCUAAUUAAAGUUGGAAAUUAUUAUAAAAUCAACGAAAUCAAAACAUUGAGAAAAAUGCUAAAGGUACAUUACCUUGUACCUUAGGUAUGGACACCUGAGGCGAGGUGCCUGUGGGCCCCUGCAUGCGGCAGGCGUCUCGCCAUUAUGGACUCCUGGGUGUAGGGGGUGAUGUACCCCUAGCAGAGCCAAAACAUUAAUUAUGUUUUCUAGAAUAAAUUUCAAAAUUAGAAACUAAAUAUAAUAAUAUAUCUUUAAUAUUGAAUCAUUUAUCCCCGACUGAGAGAACUCGACUCCGACAAGGUAAACUGAAACUUCAUACUCCAAGGUUGUUAUCUUUUGUCUUGGCCAAAUGCCUAUAUUGAACCCUGGACAACAACAUCUCUCUAAACUCGUACCAAGGAGGACAAUCUUUCUUAUUAAUCAAAUAUCUUAACUGAUCACUUGAUGACAACUGAAGCUGCAAAUCAUCUUGAGGAUUAUGAUCUAACCACGGGGAAGAUCUCCCAUUCUAACCAAAUUGCGAUAGGGAACUCCAAAAAUCAAAAACUCAUGCAACUCAUCCACAAAAUUUUCAACUAGUUGUGCAUAAAGAGGAGCAUAGGGAAUUAGCACUGUAAACUAGCAUGUAGAAAAAAAAUGACUGCAACAUCAAAGGCUCGAAUGUGCCUCGAUAAGGAAAUAAUUCUUCCACAUUGAAAAUGUAACUUUCAUUCAAAAAUCUUUUUCUUUAAUAACGUUUUCUUUAUGAGUAUGAUCAAAAAUCUUUUUCUUUACUUGUGUAGGAAACUGAAUGAAUGAAAUACACAAUAAAGCGUAAUAAAUAUCAUUGGGGUCUCCACACUUGUGUUGUACCUCAAAAGUAAGCUCAAAAAUUUCAUGAUUGAAAAUAAUUUUUCGUUUUAAUUUGGCAUGAAAUUUAGGAAAAUUUAUAGCAAAAUGAAGAGCUAAUAUAGUAUGUCGAUAAUUGGUGGGCAUUAUUCUAAUACCAAUAGGAAAAGUGUGCAAUUGAAUAAUGGCCUUGAAAAAUAAUGUUGCAACCAAGGAGCAUCGUGAAAUAGAGGAAAUAUCAAAACAAAGUCAACGUGAUAGUCAUGAAAAAUAGUAGGUAAUAUCAAUUUAGGCACAAUGUCGAUCACAUAUGGAAUGAUUGACUUUGUUGGCAAUGUGAUAGGUAGAUUCUCAACUUUGUUAGAGUGAAGUGUAUCGAUUACAGGUGUGGAUAUGAUAAGGAAUAUAGAUCUCUCAUCCUAAAGUGAAGAAACGGUUGCACUAUGAUCAUCUAAAGAAACAUGAUUUUAGAGAUUGGGAUAAAUAUGGUUAGAUAGUCUUUGCACAAGUCGCUAGAAGUCUUUCAACUACGUUAAAUGCAAUUGAAAAGACUUCUUUAUUUUUCUUUUCCACGCUAUUCAAAAGAAGGGCAAUCAAGUCUAGAGAUAAAUUGUCACUCUCUUCUAAUAUGAGGGUCAUAAUAGUCUCUAUGAAUGUGAAGAUAUUACCUAGAGGAGUUCUCCUAGGGCUAAAAUAAAAUGCUAGAACAUUUCAACUAUCAUAUGCUCACAAUUUAGAUCCA